GGGUAUGAGCACGAUCUGGUUGUAACAUCUGUCACCCCAUUGGUCAUCAGGGUUGAUUCAGUUGAUCUGGCUGGCUAGGCAGAUAGCCCCUUCUUCCCCCACUGCUCCCUCUAUGUCCUUCCUGAAGAUGCAUGCUUGGCCAAAGAGGACAACUAUCCCUGAUAGAGGAGGACCAUUCCCUUAGUCAGAGUUGUACGAGUAACUGUGCUUGCCUGCUAGAACCUCCAAACAAGCUCUCAAAAUGAGAAAAUAAAACAGGGAUAGAGAUGUAGCCCAGAGCAAAGGCCUUGGAUUCAAUCCCCCGCCCAAAUCCUACUAAAUUACAGUAUUUUAUGUA
Molecule: non-coding RNA, 337 nt
Organism: Fukomys damarensis (Damara mole-rat)
Lineage: Eukaryota; Metazoa; Chordata; Mammalia; Rodentia; Bathyergidae
Source: Rfam